UAGUCACACGUUAAGUGUGCCGCCUGGGAGUACGCCGCAAGGCUAAACUCAAGAAAUUGACGGGGCCCGCACAAGCAGAGGAGCAUGUGGCUAUUCGAUGCACGCGAGGAACCUACCUGGUUUGACAUGCAGCUGCAAGGGUAUGAAAGUAUCCCGCCUUCGAGGUGCUGCACAGUGCUGCAUGGCUGUCGUCAGUUCGUGCCGUGAGGUGUUUGGUUAAGUCCACCAACGAACGCAACCCCUUGUCCGUGUUGCCAGCGGGUGACGCCGGGAACUCGCGGACCACUGCUAGUUCACGCUAGAGGAAGGUGGGGAUGACGUCAAGUCAGUAUGGCCCUUACGCCCAGGGCUGCACACGUGCUACAGUGGCCGGUACAGAGGGAAGCGAUGCCGCGAGGCGGAGCCAACCCCAGAGAGCCGGCCCCAGUUCGGAUCGAGGUCUGCAACCCGACCUCGUGAAGUCGGAUUUGCUAGUAACGGCGUAUCAGCUACGACGCCGUGAAUGCGUUCCCGGGCCUUGUACACACCGCCCGUCACAUCAUGAAAGCCGUCUGCACCCGAAGUCCGGCAUUCGUCGGCCUAAGGUGUGGGUGGUGAUUGGGAUG
This 605-nucleotide ribosomal RNA is filed under the name uncultured rumen bacterium. RNAcentral describes it as "bacterial SSU rRNA". It matches the Rfam family "Bacterial small subunit ribosomal RNA", at positions 848 to 1482 of the family's 1533-position model. The record is from RNAcentral.